This is a long non-coding RNA of Manis pentadactyla (Chinese pangolin), 781 nucleotides long. RefSeq lists it as uncharacterized. The transcript has 3 exons. NCBI's taxonomy places the organism in Eukaryota, Metazoa, Chordata, Mammalia, Pholidota, Manidae. The record is from RefSeq and is a predicted model, not a curated record.
GAUUUUGCUGCCUUGUAUCAUUUCUGGUAUCAGAGCCCCUAUUCCUUAGAGGGGACCAUUCCCCUACUCUCAGUGCACCUGUGUUUCAGUUGGUCUGUCCUCAUCUCCUGGGGACCAUGUUCCCUUCACGUGACCACUGCCCUUCCAUGUGUGGUCAUGUGACCUAACCUGGCCAGUCACUGAGGCCUGUUCCCCUAACUCCUAUGAUGGGUUCAGGGCUGGGCACAGGGCUCAAGCUGGGACCAGAGGGACUCAAUCCCUGGGACUACUGAAGGUUCUUCUAGGUUUGAUGAACUAGGAGUCUGUGAACAUGGAACUUAUAGAAAUGAUCUUUGAACUGUAGGGAGAAGAGCUGACAAAGAAUGAUCCUAAUACUGAAGAAAGCAGAGCUGAGUGAUGAGAACGCCCUUUGAAUCCCUGGAUCCAGCCAUGCCUGAAGUCACAAUGACAUAAUCAGUCUCACAAGCUGUGUCUUGUAGGUGAAAUCUGAUGGGACAAUGGAAUGUGCACACCAGCAGAGGAGAUACAAUGCAUGUCUGCUCCGUUCCUUGCUGCCCCACGCACAGACCACAUUCUCAGUGUCCCAUGAGGACCUGCUGCACAUGAGAAUUCAAGACUCAAAGUGAGUACAAGUCUUCCCUGUUUGUCAGUAAGCUGAAGGCAGAGGGAGCUGGUAGAAUGUGCAGUGUCAAGAAGGGAAACACAAGCAAUUGAGUUUACUUUGUGUGGCAUUUCCACUGUUCUGGCAGAACAAAAUAUGUAUCCAUGUACAAGGUAAGAA